This 30-nucleotide non-coding RNA is filed under the name Mus musculus (house mouse). The record is from RNAcentral. Lineage: Eukaryota; Metazoa; Chordata; Mammalia; Rodentia; Muridae.
UGUGAGGUCCAGGGGCUCGAUCCUCAGCAU